GCCUUGUUUAGUUCCUGAAAAAUUUUGCAAAAUUUUUCAGAUUUCCCAUCACAUCGAAUCUUUAGACGUACGCAUGAAGUAUUUAAUAUAAAUGAAAAUUAAAACUAAUUACACAGUUUGAUCGGAAUUGACGAGACGAAUCUUUUGAGCCUAGUUAGUCUAUAAUUGGACAAUAUUUGUCAAAUACAAACGAAAGUGCUACUAUUCCUAUUUUGCAAAAUUUUUUGGAAGUAAACAAGGCC
This 242-nucleotide long non-coding RNA is filed under the name Sorghum bicolor (sorghum). RNAcentral's name for it is "long non-coding RNA (SBIC_LNC001931)". The record is from RNAcentral. Lineage: Eukaryota; Viridiplantae; Streptophyta; Magnoliopsida; Poales; Poaceae.